CUGGGAUUGCAGGGCUGCACCACCAGGCCUGGCUCUGGCCAGGAUGAAUUUUAAAGGUCACCGAUUCAGAGAGAGCAGCCUGAAGAGCAGGCGCGCGGUAUGGCGUGUGAGGCCCUGCGUGGGGGCCUCUGGGGAAGCCGGUGAGUCAGCCGCCUUCUCUCUAAUAGCGUUCACCUCCGCGCGAGGAGUAAUAGGAGAGGCCGUCAUUAGCCAAGGUGUGAGUAACAGGGUUCAAACUCAAGAGGGACUCGGUGUGUUCCGCUGGGGAAGGGUGAGCUGGGGCUCUUCCCUGCCUGCGGAGGAGGCGCAGACCGCGGAGUCCAAGCCCAGGGACGGCGAUGAGUCCCUUAGACACCGGCCCAGGACGGAGACCCACAGGAACACGUCUGGGAGACCCUUCACCAUUCACCUGGGCCACCUUUGCACAGGUUGAGGAAUGUGGCGUGGACACAGAGCGAACAUGAGCCUGCUCUUCUGCACUCCCUUUCGUCAGAGCGGAGGUGGUGCCGGGAGGAGGAGCCAUCUGUGGAGUCCAAGCAGCAAUGUGUGACUAGCAUUUGCAGGCGCCGUGUGCGUGGCCAGAAACGGACACUACGUGGCCCUGCUUGGGCCUCUAUGGUGGCAGGGCCUAGGGCAUGGAGAAAUGAGCCAGAGAAGGGGCCGUGAAAGUCUUGAAAGUAGACUUGACAUUCGUGGAGGAGCUUGGUGUGCUGAGACGCAGGUGACCGUGCUGGGGCAUAUUUACUAGGCCCUGCUGCCUCUUCCCCAUGAGCAGGGCAUGGUGGGAACAAGCCCAGGGUAGGGAUCUCCACAGCCUGGAGCCCAAGGAGGAGCCCACUCCACCAAGUCAGAGGUGGAACUCAGGAAGGCCUGCUGAGAAGCUCAUAGAAGCAGAUUGUUUUGGUUUGUUCUGACUGAAUACCAGGCCGCCCUGUGGGAGAAUUUCACAGAGGGUGAUUUGUCCUCAAUAGGAGGCAAUGUUGCCAGCCAGGGAUAUUUGGGGAUGUAUAGAGACAUUUUUGGUUGUUACAACUGAAAGUUUCCUGGGUAACGGCUACAAAAUAUCCUACAGUGCUGUCCUACGGGAUAGUGAGUCCCCCAUACAAACUAACGAGGAUCCAGCCCCAAAUGUCAAUAGCACUGGGGUCUGACAAAUAAAUUUUUAGUAUCUUUUUCCCUAAGUUGUUAGUGCCCUGUGUGAGGUGUGGUGUGUGAGAGGCUGGUGCCACUGGUGGUAAAGAGAAUUUACCCAUAGCCAAGAAACACAGAAAAGUUAAGAGUUUAUUGGGCUGGGGAUUUCAGUGGUUCUGCCCCCCUGCCUCGAAAGUGCAAGGUCCCAAGUUCGAUCCCUGGUAACAACAAAGAAAAAAGUCCCUUAAAAAAAAAAAAAAGUUUAUUGAUGCAGUGCAUUGGGGAAGGCAUAGAGAGGAUGUGUUCCAGAGAAGUCAGAGUGAAGGCUGAGAUUUUUAGAUUUGAUUUUAACCUGAGGAGGGGUCUAGAAACGUGGGCAUGGGGUUCCCGUGUCCGUCCAUCCCAGGUCUGAAGAGGGCAGAGAGUGUUUGAAGACUGAUGUGAAGUUUUUGUUCGACAGGGUCCAGGGCCCUUGGCAUUGCUAGAAACAGUCCUUCUGGGUAAAAUAAAUUAACAAAUAUGUAAAGAUUGUCUAAUGUUAGUGGUCAAGGAGAUCAGAAUAAACUAUAUAUGUGUGUGCUUGAGAAGGACUUUUGAGUUGUAUUGGGAUAGGGGAAGAAAUGGCUAGAUUAUCUGUGAUGUAUGCAUAGUUCUUAGGCAUAGCUCAUGAGGUGGAAGUUAAUGUUCUACCACAGACCCACCACUCAGGUGCAGUGUGCACUUUAGAGAAACAAUGAUAAAAUAACCAUGAUUCCUAAUAACUAGGUUACUCAGGCUAGGCUAAGAUUUGUGAUCCUGCUUCAGCCUCCCAGAAUGCUGGGAUUAUAAGCCUGUGCCACCAUGUCCGGC
Molecule: long non-coding RNA, 1980 nt
Filed under: Heterocephalus glaber (naked mole-rat)
Lineage: Eukaryota; Metazoa; Chordata; Mammalia; Rodentia; Bathyergidae
Description: lncRNA (ENSHGLG00100040564.1)
Source: RNAcentral